Molecule: long non-coding RNA, 1390 nt
Organism: Lolium rigidum
Lineage: Eukaryota; Viridiplantae; Streptophyta; Magnoliopsida; Poales; Poaceae
Exons: 8
Source: RefSeq, a predicted model, not a curated record
GCAGGGAAGGCCUGAGCUGCAGCCAUAUUCCGGGUGGCUGGUCGGCGCGAGCAACGGGGGCAACGGCCGUGUUAGGCUGGAGGAGCGGGGCUGACAGAAGCUCGUUGUGGCGCAAGACUGGCAGCAGGGAGGUGUGGAGGAUAGCUAGUGGUGGCCUUCGCGAGGUGCUGCUGCCGGCCUCCUUGGGGAGCCGCCGGCGGCGAUCUCCUGUUGCCGGCCACCAUUCCGUAUCGUAACAGGACGCCACCCCAACUGGCUUCUCCCGUUGUUGCAUCGGCGGGCUGAUGUGGGAGGCGGAGAGGUUGAGCAGGAGGACCUGCAUAGCUCGGCUAGCUGUGGAGACCACAUGCAGCAACGAUAUCUUUGCCGGCGAUGACAACUAAUGAUGCCGCCACACCGUGCACAAUCCUGCUCGGGCCUUCCCGCCACCUGAACUGAGAGGACCCCUGCCCUGUUCUAGCUGCAGGACGAUGCGAGGCUGCUUCUGGUGCUUCAUGUUUGUUCCUUUGUCGACGUGUUUGUGCCAGUUUCAGCGGCUGAUCAAGAGUUCUCCCGUUGCGGCGAUGUAGAUGAUGCCAUUCAUGACAUUGUCUACUAGGCACCCAAAGUGGAUAAGUGGAGGUGGAGGUGGCUAGAAGGUAGCCAUGGCCAACCGGAUGUAGCCAGUUUGACCAACUAAUGUUCUUAUCAGCCAUUGUCUGCGGCUGGAGCAAGGACGUGCCGUGCACAGGGGAGUUCCACGAUGAACCCUUACUACUGAACAAAGCUCGUCAUUGAGCGCUUGGACCCUUUGGAAGAUCAUACUGCUCAUGUAUUUCAACCCGGUCGACGCUCACCCAAGUGGGCGCAAAUUGGUGAAAACCCCCUUUGGAAACCCAAACAACCUGAUGUCGUAUGUCCAGCAAUAAGUUGCCUGGAGGUGGCAUGUGUGUUCCCAUGAGAGAAAGGGGAUUUCCAGUUGGUGGAGCUUGCUAGGAGGUAGCGAUGGCUACCGGAUCUAUCCGAUUGGCAGGGGUGGUCUUCGUCCUUGACUUUGUUGGGGUUUAGCUCUGGAGCUGACCAUCAAGUUUCUGUUCAAGAUAUCCUGGAGGACUGCUAGAUGGCAGCGAGGAACCUGCAUCUGGAUGUAAGCUGGGAGAGCAAGGAAGGAUCCGCCUGUAUACACGCCUUGCAUCGUGCAACAUCUUUCUUUAUUUACUCUGGUUGUAAUGCAACGUAGCGGAGAUUUCAGAUUCGAAAGAAUCUCGUAUUGCAUCAUGUCGGUGUUCUAUGUAACCGUCAUACGAUGGGAUUGCGGAAACUUGUGCUGACGUGCGUGCAUCAGCUUUGCUUUGAUGCUGACUGUUGGGCAGUUACCCCGUUGAUGAUUAGAGUUGUGGUUGAGUUUGUA